CCUACGGGGGGCAGCAGUGAGGAAUAUUGGUCAAUGGGCUUACGCCUGAACCAGCCAAGUCGCGUGAGGGAAGACUGCCCUAUGGGUUGUAAACCUCUUUUGUCAGGGAGCAACGCCGGCUACGUGUAGCCGGACUGAGAGUACCUGAAGAAAAAGCAUCGGCUAACUCCGUGCCAGCAGCCGCGGUAAUACGGAGGAUGCGAGCGUUAUCCGGAUUUAUUGGGUUUAAAGGGAGCGUAGGUAGAUUGUCAAGUCAAGGGUGAAAUCCCCGCGCUCAACGUGGGAACUGCCUUUGAAACUGGCAAACUGGAGUGUGUGAGAGGAUAGUGGAAUUCCAGGUGUAGGAGUGAAAGCCGUAGAUAUCUGGAGGAACAUCAGUGGCGAAGGCGACUAUCUGGCACAUAACUGACGCUGAGGAGCGAAAGCGUGGGUAGCAAACAGGAUUAGAUACCCUGGUAGUC
RNAcentral lists this ribosomal RNA (461 nucleotides) under uncultured bacterium. RNAcentral's name for it is "partial 16S ribosomal RNA". It matches the Rfam family "Bacterial small subunit ribosomal RNA", at positions 338 to 795 of the family's 1533-position model. The record is from RNAcentral.